RNAcentral lists this ribosomal RNA (253 nucleotides) under uncultured bacterium. Its description in RNAcentral is "partial 16S ribosomal RNA". It matches the Rfam family "Bacterial small subunit ribosomal RNA", at positions 524 to 776 of the family's 1533-position model. The record is from RNAcentral.
UACGUAGGGUGCGAGCGUUGUCCGGAAUUAUUGGGCGUAAAGGGCUCGUAGGCGGUUUGUCGCGUCGGGAGUGAAAACUCAGGGCUUAACCCUGAGCCUGCUUCCGAUACGGGCAGACUAGAGGUAUGCAGGGGAGAAUGGAAUUCCUGGUGUAGCGGUGAAAUGCGCAGAUAUCAGGAGGAACACCAGUGGCGAAGGCGGUUCUCUGGGCAUUACCUGACGCUGAGGAGCGAAAGUGUGGGGAGCGAACAGG